Long non-coding RNA from Gallus gallus (chicken), 381 nucleotides. The record is from Ensembl. NCBI's taxonomy places the organism in Eukaryota, Metazoa, Chordata, Aves, Galliformes, Phasianidae.
GUGUGAGCUGCAUCUUAUGGAAAGCAUGCACAUGCACAUUGGGCGCCUCUUGCAGCCAUGUGUUUUCUUGCAGAACAACAAUGAGAUGAAGAUGGGGCAUUAAGCCCUUGGAGAACAUUGACACAUUGCAUGGACAACAAGAUGACCUUGGUAUGGACUCAAUCCUGUUUACACUGUACUUAGAGUGCAUCACUCUGCUUCAGCAGAUCUGGUCCUGGUGCCUGUGAGAAUAACACCGUGAUGCUACUGAUGGUGAACCACUGAAACUGAGCUGCAGACGACUGUGGUUUCCCGUUUCUCCACAAGAGCAGAUUAGACAUUGCAUAACAAAAUUUUGCAAAGGGAACCUGCUCUGUCACUGUGACACUGAGCAUGGACGGG